GCAAUAGGGAAGUAUACGUAACAUCUGAAAAUAACACUGAGGUAUUAACUGGAUAUUCUGUUUUUUCAGAAUAACCUCAUAAUGAAGAAUUAUGUCGACGACGGAACAACAAGAAUUAUCCGAUAAUAAAAUGCCGACGUUAUGUCGGCAUUUUAAUUUACC
Molecule: non-coding RNA, 162 nt
Organism: Kluyvera intermedia
Lineage: Bacteria; Pseudomonadati; Pseudomonadota; Gammaproteobacteria; Enterobacterales; Enterobacteriaceae
Source: Rfam